RNAcentral lists this ribosomal RNA (497 nucleotides) under uncultured bacterium. Its description in RNAcentral is "partial 16S ribosomal RNA". It matches the Rfam family "Bacterial small subunit ribosomal RNA", at positions 28 to 507 of the family's 1533-position model. The record is from RNAcentral.
GAUGAACGCUGGCGGCGUGCCUAAUACAUGCAAGUCGAGCGAACAGACGAGGAGCUUGCUCCUCUGACGUUAGCGGCGGACGGGUGAGUAACACGUGGAUAACCUACCUAUAAGACUGGGAUAACUUCGGGAAACCGGAGCUAAUACCGGAUAAUAUAUUGAACCGCAUGGUUCAAUAGUGAAAGACGGUUUUGCUGUCACUUAUAGAUGGAUCCGCGCCGCAUUAGCUAGUUGGUAAGGUAACGGCUUACCAAGGCAACGAUGCGUAGCCGACCUGAGAGGGUGAUCGGCCACACUGGAACUGGGACACGGUCCAGACGCCUACGGGAGGCAGCAGUAGGGAAUCUUCCGCAAUGGGGGAAAGCUUGACGGAGCAACGCCGCGUGAGUGAUGAAGGUCCUCGGAUCGUAAAACUCUGUUAUUAGGGAAGAACAAAUGUGUAAGUAACUAUGCACGUCUUGACGGUACCUAAUCAGAAAGCCACGGCUAACUACGUG